GACGAACGCUGGCGGCGCGCCUAACACAUGCAAGUCGAGCGAAGAAAUCUUAACCGAUCUCUUCGGAGUGAAGAAAAAGUGGAUUAGCGGCGGACGGGUGAGGAACACGUGAGAAACCUGCCUUUCACAAGGGGAUAGCCUCGGGAAACCGGGAUUAAUAGCCUAUGACUCAUUUCCUUCGCAUGGAAGAAGUGUGAAAACUCCGGUGGUGAAAGAUGGUCUCGCGCCUGAUUAGCUAGUUGGUGGGGUAACGGCCCACCAAGGCGAUGAUCAGUAACCGGCCUGAGAGGGUGAACGGUCACAUUGGAACUGAGACACGGCCCAAACUCCUACGGGAGGCAGCAGUGGGGAAUAUUGCACAAUGGAGGAAACUCUGAUGCAGCGACGCCGCGUGAGCGAUGAAGGCUUUCGAGUCGUAAAGCUCUGUCCGAUGGGAAGAUAAUGACGGUACCAAAGGAGGAAGCCCCGGCUAACUACGUG
RNAcentral lists this ribosomal RNA (480 nucleotides) under uncultured bacterium. RNAcentral's name for it is "partial 16S ribosomal RNA". It matches the Rfam family "Bacterial small subunit ribosomal RNA", at positions 28 to 507 of the family's 1533-position model. The record is from RNAcentral.